RNAcentral lists this ribosomal RNA (1002 nucleotides) under Triticum aestivum (bread wheat). Its description in RNAcentral is "partial small subunit ribosomal RNA". The record is from RNAcentral. Lineage: Eukaryota; Viridiplantae; Streptophyta; Magnoliopsida; Poales; Poaceae.
AUGGAACUAGCUAUGCUGGAGGAACUAGAAGAAGAAGAUAUGUUACCUCCUGACUUAUAUAGUAGAAAAGUGGAUAUCAACGCUGAGCUCUAUGAGCUCCUAGUGAAUGAGGAAAUCUUUUGGCUUCAACAGUCUCGUGAGCGCUGGCUUCUUAAAGGAGACUUGAAUACUGACUAUUAUCACAAAAUUGCUAAUGGACGGAAAUGUAAAAAUACAAUCCAAUCACUUAGAACGGGAGAGACAGUGAUUGAAGGCACGAACAAUCUGAUUGCACAUGCAACUGAGUUUUACAAAGAUCUGUUCGGACCAGCCCCUGGUAACCAGAUUCAUCUUGAUCCGGGAACCUGGUCGACUGAGGAGAAAUUAGAUGAAAAAGAUAAUAAGGAUCUUUGCCGAGAAUUUACCGAACAGGAGGUCAAAGAGGCUUUGUUUGAUAUGGCCCCUAAUCGAGCCCCUGGAUCCGAUAAUAUCCCUGCUGAGUUCUAUCAAGUGUGCUGGGAUAUCGUUAAAGACGACAUUAUGGCCCUUUUUAAAGCUUUUCAUCAAGGGACGUUGGAUGUCCAGAGGCUUAAUUAUGGAAUUAUUACUCUGCUCCCAAAAGUUUCUGGAGCCGAGAAAAUACAGCAGUACAGGCCUAUUUGCCUGCUGAGAUGCCCAUAUAAACUGAUUACCAAAGUCCUCGAUCGAAGAGUUGCUAUAUAUGCAAACAAACUCAUUAGCCCUACUCAGAACGCCUUUGUAAAAGGAAGAAAUAUCAUGGAUGGAGUUUUGUCCCUCCAUGAAAUUCUUAACUACACUUAUGUUAAGAAAAAAGUGGGGAUUGUCCUUAAAUUGGACUUUGAAAAAGCAUAUGAUAAGGUGAAUUGGGACUUCCUCCUAGAAUGCCACAAGAUGCGGGGCUUUAACGAUACCUGGUGCAGAUGGAUUGAACAGAUACUGCAUAAUGGGACAGUUAGCAUCAAACUUAAUGGUAGUGUUGGGCCAUAUUUCCAAAAAAAGUGA